AUUGAACGCUGGCGGCAUGCCUUACACAUGCAAGUCGAACGGUAACGCGGGGGCAACCCUGGCGACGAGUGGCGAACGGGUGAGUAAUACAUCGGAACAUAUCCAGUAGCGGGGGAUAACCUAUCGAAAGAUUGGCUAAUACCGCAUACGAUCUACGGAUGAAAGCAGGGGACCGCAAGGCCUUGCACUAUUGGAGUGGCCGAUGUCAGAUUAGCUAGUUGGUGGGGUAAAAGCCUACCAAGGCGACGAUCUGUAGCUGGUCUGAGAGGACGAUCAGCCACACUGGAACUGAGACACGGUCCAGACUCCUACGGGAGGCAGCAGUGGGGAAUUUUGGACAAUGGGCGCAAGCCUGAUCCAGCCAUGCCGCGUGAGUGAAGAAGGCC
RNAcentral lists this ribosomal RNA (386 nucleotides) under uncultured bacterium. RNAcentral describes it as "bacterial SSU rRNA". It matches the Rfam family "Bacterial small subunit ribosomal RNA", at positions 30 to 416 of the family's 1533-position model. The record is from RNAcentral.